GUGCUCACUUUGGCAGCAUAGAUACUAAGACUGGAUGAUACAGAGAUCAGCAUGAUCCCUGUGCAGGGAUGAAAUGCAAAUUCAUAAAGAAUUCCGUAUUUUU
Small nuclear RNA from Cricetulus griseus (Chinese hamster), 103 nucleotides. Lineage: Eukaryota; Metazoa; Chordata; Mammalia; Rodentia; Cricetidae. The record is from Ensembl.